This 74-nucleotide transfer RNA is filed under the name Pachycondyla annamita. Its description in RNAcentral is "tRNA-Ala". Lineage: Eukaryota; Metazoa; Arthropoda; Insecta; Hymenoptera; Formicidae. The record is from RNAcentral.
AGGAUAUUAGUUAAUAAAAUUAUUUAAUAAUAUUUAAUUUGCUUUUAAAAGUAACUUAAAAAAAGUAUAUCUUA